Molecule: non-coding RNA, 227 nt
Filed under: Haliscomenobacter hydrossis
Lineage: Bacteria; Pseudomonadati; Bacteroidota; Saprospiria; Saprospirales; Haliscomenobacteraceae
Also listed under: 1 other name
Source: RNAcentral
CCUUCACCCCCGAUCUACGGUGCCAUACUACCCAGCGGGUAGCAGUUGGCUUAAUAGGGAAUCUGGUGUAAAACCAGAGCUGUCCCCGCAACUGUAAGUUUCGAUUAGGCUGUGCGCACAGUCUUUUUAGUUGUUGCCCUUUUCUCGCCACUGGAGCAAUUCUCAACUCCGGGAAGGCAGGCAACAAUGAAACGAGCCAGGAGACCUGCCGCCGAUAAUUCUUAGCC